Molecule: ribosomal RNA, 254 nt
Filed under: uncultured bacterium
Lineage: Bacteria
Description: partial 16S ribosomal RNA
Rfam family: Bacterial small subunit ribosomal RNA
Source: RNAcentral
CACGUAGGGUGCGAGCGUUGUCCGGAAUUAUUGGGCGUAAAGAGCUCGUAGGCGGUUUGUUGCGUCGGCUGUGAAAUCCCGAGGCUCAACCUCGGGUCUGCAGUCGAUACGAGCAAACUAGAGUGUUGCAGGGGAGACUGGAAUUCCUGGUGUAGCGGUGAAAUGCGCAGAUAUCAGGAGGAACACCGGUGGCGAAGGCGGGUCUCUGGGCAACAACUGACGCUGAGGAGCGAAAGCGUGGGGGAGCGAACAGG